CUCCUCGGGGUGCAGGAAGGCGGUGAACUCCUCCUUGGUGGCCGCCAUGUCGCCGUCGCGGUCGGCCAUCUUGAAGCGCCGCUCGUCCCUCACCAUCAUCUGCUUGUAGUUGAAGCCGUCGUCCGGGUCGGGGUCGUCCAGGACGGAGCCGUAGGUGGCGUUGCGGUACUCAUCCCAGGACACGGUGCCGUCCCCGUUGAGGUCGUGGCCCUUCCACUGCCGCUCCACGUCCUCAUAGAUCCACCUCUUCUGCGCAAACUUAAUCCACUCCCGCAGCUCCUCCACCGUCACGAAGCCGUCCUGGUCGCUGUCGAUCUUCACGACGAUUUUGC
RNAcentral lists this long non-coding RNA (332 nucleotides) under Gallus gallus (chicken). Lineage: Eukaryota; Metazoa; Chordata; Aves; Galliformes; Phasianidae. The record is from RNAcentral.